CGGGACACGUGGUAUCCUGUCUGAAUAUGGGGGGACCAUCCUCCAAGGCUAAAUACUCCUGACUGACCGAUAGUGAACCAGUACCGUGAGGGAAAGGCGAAAAGAACCCCGGCGAGGGGAGUGAAAAAGAACCUGAAACCGUGUACGUACAAGCAGUGGGAGCACGCUUAGGCGUGUGACUGCGUACCUUUUGUAUAAUGGGUCAGCGACUUAUAUUCUGUAGCAAGGUUAACCGAAUAGGGGAGCCGAAGGGAAACCGAGUCUUAACUGGGCGUUAAGUUGCAGGGUAUAGACCCGAAACCCGGUGAUCUAGCCAUGGGCAGGUUGAAGGUUGGGUAACACUAACUGGAGGACCGAACCGACUAAUGUUGAAAAAUUAGCGGAUGACUUGUGGCUGGGGGUGAAAGGCCAAUCAAACCGGGAGAUAGCUGGUUCUCCCCGAAAGCUAUUUAGGUAGCGCCUCGUGAAUUCAUCUCCGGGGGUAGAGCACUGUUUCGGCAAGGGGGUCAUCCCGACUUACCAACCCGAUGCAAACUGCGAAUACCGGAGAAUGUUAUCACGGGAGACACACGGCGGGUGCUAACGUCCGUCGUGAAGAG
RNAcentral lists this ribosomal RNA (599 nucleotides) under Escherichia coli. Its description in RNAcentral is "partial 23S ribosomal RNA". It matches the Rfam family "Bacterial large subunit ribosomal RNA", at positions 418 to 1017 of the family's 2925-position model. Lineage: Bacteria; Pseudomonadati; Pseudomonadota; Gammaproteobacteria; Enterobacterales; Enterobacteriaceae. The record is from RNAcentral. RNAcentral also lists the same sequence under 1 other name.